GUGCUCACUUUGGCAGCACACAUACUAAAAUUGGAAUGAUACGGAGAAGAUUAGCAUGGCCCCGGUGCAAGGAUGACAUGCAAAUUUGUGAAGCAUUUCAUAUUUUU
Molecule: small nuclear RNA, 107 nt
Organism: Ictidomys tridecemlineatus (thirteen-lined ground squirrel)
Lineage: Eukaryota; Metazoa; Chordata; Mammalia; Rodentia; Sciuridae
Source: Ensembl